This 92-nucleotide transfer RNA is filed under the name Clostridiales bacterium. RNAcentral describes it as "tRNA-Ser". It matches the Rfam family "tRNA". From Rfam's summary of the family: Transfer RNA (tRNA) molecules are approximately 80 nucleotides in length. Their secondary structure includes four short double-helical elements and three loops (D, anti-codon, and T loops). The record is from RNAcentral. RNAcentral also lists the same sequence under 1 other name. Lineage: Bacteria; Bacillati; Bacillota; Clostridia; Eubacteriales.
GGAGAAGUACUCAAGUAGGUCGAAGAGGACGGUUUGCUAAACCGUUAGGGUUCGUAAGGGCCGCAUGGGUUCGAAUCCCAUCUUCUCCGCCA